AAUCAACGCUGGCGGCGUGCCUCAGACAUGCAAGUCGAACGAUUAAAGCUCUCUUCGGAGAGUGUAUAGAGUGGCGCACGGGUGAGUAACACGUAAGUAAUCUACCCUCGAGUGGGGAAUAACAACCGGAAACGGUUGCUAAUACCGCAUAAUGCAGCGGCACCGCAAGGUGACAGUUGUUAAAGAUUUAUCGCUUGAGGAGGAGCUUGCGGCAGAUUAGCUAGUUGGUAGGGUAACGGCUUACCAAGGCUACGAUCUGUAACCGGUCUAAGAGGACGGUCGGUCACACUGACACUGAAUAACGGGUCAGACUCCUACGGGAGGCAGCAGUCGGGAAUUUUGGGCAAUGGGCGAAAGCCUGACCCAGCAACGCCGCGUGAAGGAUGAAGUAUUUCGGUAUGUAAACUUCGAAAGAAUAGGAAGAAUUAAUGACGGUACUAUUUAUAAGGUCCGGCUAACUACGUA
Molecule: ribosomal RNA, 465 nt
Filed under: uncultured bacterium
Lineage: Bacteria
Description: bacterial SSU rRNA
Rfam family: Bacterial small subunit ribosomal RNA
Source: RNAcentral